CCUACGGGUGGCAGCAGUGAGGAAUAUUGGUCAAUGGACGGAAGUCUGAACCAGCCAUGCCGCGUGCAGGAAGACGGCUCUAUGAGUUGUAAACUGCUUUUGUACAAGGGUAAACCUGAAUACGUGUAUUCAGCUGAAAGUACUGUACGAAUAAGGAUCGGCUAACUCCGUGCCAGCAGCCGCGGUAAUACGGAGGAUCCAAGCGUUAUCCGGAUUUAUUGGGUUUAAAGGGUGGGUGGGGGGAUGGUUAAGUUGGAGGGGAAAUGUCCGAGCUCACUCGGGAACUGCCUCUAAUACUGUUGAUCUAGAGAGUAGAUGCGGUAGGCGGAAUGUAUGGUGUAGCGGUGAAAUGCUUAGAGAUCAUACAGAACACCGAUUGCGAAGGCAGCUUACCAAUCUAUAUCUGACGUUGAGGCACGAAAGCGUGGGGAGCAAACAGGAUUAGAUACCCUUGUAGUC
RNAcentral lists this ribosomal RNA (459 nucleotides) under uncultured bacterium. RNAcentral's name for it is "partial 16S ribosomal RNA". It matches the Rfam family "Bacterial small subunit ribosomal RNA", at positions 338 to 795 of the family's 1533-position model. The record is from RNAcentral.